Molecule: ribosomal RNA, 1021 nt
Filed under: uncultured bacterium
Lineage: Bacteria
Description: bacterial SSU rRNA
Rfam family: Bacterial small subunit ribosomal RNA
Source: RNAcentral
CGGGAGGCAGCAGUGGAGGAAUCUGCGCAAUGGGCGAAGCUGACGCAGCGACGCCGCGUGAGGGAUGACGGCCUUCGGGUGUAAACCUCUUUCAGCUCCGACGAAGCGUAAGUGACGGUAGGAGCAGAAGAAGCACCGGCCAACUACGUGCCAGCAGCCGCGGUAAUACGUAGGGUGCAAGCGUUGUCCGGAAUUAUUGGGCGUAAAGAGCUCGUAGGCGGUCUGUCGCGUCGGCUGUGAAAACUUGGGGCUCAACUCCGAGCUUGCAGUCGAUACGGGCAGGCUAGAGUUCGGCAGGGGAGACUGGAAUUCCUGGUGUAGCGGUGAAAUGCGCAGAUAUCAGGAGGAACACCGGUGGCGAAGGCGGGUCUCUGGGCCGAUACUGACGCUGAGGAGCGAAAGCGUGGGGAGCGAACAGGAUUAGAUACCCUGGUAGUCCACGCCGUAAACGUUGGGCGCUAGGUGUGGGAUCCCUUCCACGGGUUCCGUGCCGCAGCUAACGCAUUAAGCGCCCCGCCUGGGGAGUACGGCCGCAAGGCUAAAACUCAAAGGAAUUGACGGGGGCCCGCACAAGCGGCGGAGCAUGCGGAUUAAUUCGAUGCAACGCGAAGAACCUUACCUGGGUUUGACAUACACUGGAAAGCCGUGGAGACACGGCCCCCGCAAGGCCGGUGUACAGGUGGUGCAUGGCUGUCGUCAGCUCGUGUCGUGAGAUGUUGGGUUAAGUCCCGCAACGAGCGCAACCCUUAUCCUAUGUUGCCAGCGGGUUAUGCCGGGGACUCAUGGGAGACUGCCGGGGUCAACUCGGAGGAAGGUGGGGACGACGUCAAGUCAUCAUGCCCCUUAUGUCCAGGGCUUCACACAUGCUACAAUGGCCGGUACAAAGGGCUGCUAAGCCGCGAGGUGGAGCGAAUCCCAUAAAGCCGGUCUCAGUUCGGAUCGGGGUCUGCAACUCGACCCCGUGAAGUCGGAGUCGCUAGUAAUCGCAGAUCAGCAACGCCGCGGUGAAUACGUUCCCGGG